GAUGAACGCUGGCGGCGUGCCUAAUACAUGCAAGUCGAGCGAACAGACGCGGAGCUUGCUCCUCUGACGUUAGCGGCGGACGGGUGAGUAACACGUGGACAACCUACCUAUAAGACUGGGAUAACUUCGGGAAACCGGAGCUAAUACCGGAUAAUAUAUUGAACCGCAUGGUUCAAUAGUGAAAGACGGUUUUGCUGCCACUUAUAGAUGGAUCCGCGCCGCAUUAGCUAGUUGGUAAGGUAACGGCUUACCAAGGCAACGAUGCGUAGCCGACCUGAGAGGGUGAUCGGCCACACUGGAACUGAGACACGGUCCAGACUCCUACGGGAGGCAGCAGUAGGGAAUCUUCCGCAAUGGGCGAAAGCUUGACGGAGCAACGCCGCGUGAAUGAAGAAGGUCUUCGGAUCGUAAAACUCUGUUAUUAGGGAAGAAAAAGUGUGUAAGUAACUAUGCACGUCUUGACGGUACCUAAACAGAAAGCCACGGCUAACUACGUG
This 497-nucleotide ribosomal RNA is filed under the name uncultured bacterium. Its description in RNAcentral is "partial 16S ribosomal RNA". It matches the Rfam family "Bacterial small subunit ribosomal RNA", at positions 28 to 507 of the family's 1533-position model. The record is from RNAcentral.